Molecule: long non-coding RNA, 1135 nt
Organism: Alexandromys fortis (reed vole)
Lineage: Eukaryota; Metazoa; Chordata; Mammalia; Rodentia; Cricetidae
Exons: 3
Source: RefSeq, a predicted model, not a curated record
CCCAUCUAGCUGUGCCCUCUCUACAAGCUUGCUGAGCUCAGGAGCCGUGGCAAUGCACUUGGAAUACAGUCUUGCACGUGGUGUCUUUCGUUGGCAGAUGCUCCAUUUAGAGGUGAAGUUUGAUUUGUUGAGCUAUGCCAAUGGUGUCACUCCAGGAAACCUUUAUACUGACUCCAGAUGAGGUCAAAUGACUACAAUUUCAGACACCAUUCAAAAGGCUCUAGUGACUGACCGCCUUCGCCACCAGGAAGUCCAGCUGAUGCAGAGAGGAAUGAGACUCCAAAGUUCCAUAGAAACAACCUUUCAGCAAGGCGAGACACACGACAAGGACCCGUGAAGUCCAGGCUCUCCUAAACUUACUGUGUAGUUGAAGACAAUCUUAAACUUCUGGUCCUCCCUGGUUAAAUUUAAACGAUGCACGAGGCAGAUCUCCUGCGCUUCUCUGUGACUGAUCCACCACAAAUUUUCAUGUCAUGCCAGCUCUCUUAGCAAACGCUGAGGCAGGAUCGCAUUUGCGAGAGAUUUGUUGGAGAGAGAAGACAAGACCAGGUAAGAGGACCCCUUAACGUGCUGACGCAGGUCUGGACCCCUUAGCGCGGUGAUGCAGGUCUGAAUCCCUUAACAUGGUGAUGAAGGUCUGGACCCCUUAGCGUGGUGAUGAGGGUCUGGACCCUUUAACAUGGUGAUGAGGUCUGCUGCUGUGGAAAGAGAAAGGAAAGGACAGGUAGAAGGGACUGGGUAGAAGAGCUUCCAGUAGCACCCGCAUUCCGAGUGAGAAUUGGCUAGCUCAGUAGGAACUCCUUAGACCUUUUGAAAAAUCUGAUUUCUCUUAGAAAUUGGCCUGUAUUAAUAUUCUACAUCCCCAGCUCAAAUGUACUCCAUCAUGAUCUUGGAGCAGACUUAGAGAACAGGCCUCAGAAUGAGUAUGGUUCUAGAUCCAGCUGAGGCUUCAGCCAGGGGUAGUCCCUACAGCAUUGGUCAUGUAAAGCACACUUCUCCGGUCACAACUCUGUAAGCACCGGUGUCGUCAGAACCAGUUUGUGGGGUGCACUUCAUUACUUAUCAAACCCAUCUUUGCGGCACUCCUACAACACAACAAGCAUCGUGUUCAGUGGUAUAAAGUCUAUGGGGGGGC